UACGUAGGUGGCAAGCGUUGUCCGGAAUUAUUGGGCGUAAAGCGCGCGCAGGUGGUCUCUUAAGUCUGAUGUGAAAGCCCACGGCUCAACCGUGGAGGGUCAUUGGAAACUGGGGGACUUGAGUACAGAAGAGGAAAGUGGAAUUCCACGUGUAGCGGUGAAAUGCGUAGAGAUGUGGAGGAACACCACUGGCGAAGGCGACUUUCUGGUCUGUAACUGACACUGAGGCGCGAAAGCGUGGGGAGCAAACAGG
This 253-nucleotide ribosomal RNA is filed under the name uncultured bacterium. Its description in RNAcentral is "partial 16S ribosomal RNA". It matches the Rfam family "Bacterial small subunit ribosomal RNA", at positions 524 to 776 of the family's 1533-position model. The record is from RNAcentral.